UACGGAGGAUGCGAGCGUUAUCCGGAUUUAUUAGGUUUAAAGGGUGCGUAGGCUGAACAGUCAGUCAGUGGUGAAAUCCUGCGGCUUAACCGUAGAACUGCCAUUGAUACUACUGUUCUUGAGUACAGUUGAGGUAGGCGGAAUGUGUAGUGUAGCGGUGAAAUGCUUAGAUAUUACACAGAACACCGAUUGCGAAGGCAGCUUACUAAACUGUUACUGACGCUGAGGCACGAAAGCGUGGGGAGCGAACAGGAUUAGAUACCCCCGUA
This 269-nucleotide ribosomal RNA is filed under the name uncultured prokaryote. RNAcentral describes it as "partial 16S ribosomal RNA". It matches the Rfam family "Bacterial small subunit ribosomal RNA", at positions 524 to 792 of the family's 1533-position model. The record is from RNAcentral.